Molecule: transfer RNA, 104 nt
Filed under: Halopenitus persicus
Lineage: Archaea; Methanobacteriati; Methanobacteriota; Halobacteria; Halobacteriales; Haloferacaceae
Description: tRNA_Asn_GTT
Rfam family: tRNA
About the family: Transfer RNA (tRNA) molecules are approximately 80 nucleotides in length.
Source: RNAcentral
GCCGAAGUAGCUCAGUUGGUAGAGCGCCUCGCUGUUAGGACGAUCGGCUUUCCCCGUUCGUCGCAGUCACGAGGCGGUCCCAGGUUCGAGUCCUGGCUUCGGCG